RNAcentral lists this ribosomal RNA (467 nucleotides) under uncultured bacterium. RNAcentral's name for it is "partial 16S ribosomal RNA". It matches the Rfam family "Bacterial small subunit ribosomal RNA", at positions 28 to 507 of the family's 1533-position model. The record is from RNAcentral.
GACGAACGCUGGCGGCGUGCUUAACACAUGCAAGUCGAACGGACAGGCCCUGCUUUUGUGGGGUGCUCGAGUGGCGAACGGGUGAGUAACACGUGAGUAACCUGCCCUUGACUUUGGGAUAACUUCAGAAACUGGGGCUAAUACCGUGUAGGAGCUCCUGCUGCCUGGUGGGGGUUGGAAAGUUUCGGCGGUUGGGGAUGGAAUCGCGGCUUAUCAGCUUGUUGGUGGGGUAGUGGCUUACCAAGGCUUUGACGGGUAGCCGGCCUGAGAGGGUGCCCGGCCCCAUUGGGACUGAGAUGAGGCACAGACUCCUCUGGGAGGCAGCAGUGGAGAAUAUUGCACAAUGGGCGGAAGCCUGAUGCAGCAACGCCGCGUGCGGGAUGACGGCCUGCGGGUUGUAAUCCGCUUUCGCCUGUGCCGAAGCGUGAGUGACGGUAAUGGGUAAAGAAGCACCGGCUAACUACGUG